RNAcentral lists this unclassified non-coding RNA (724 nucleotides) under Hevea brasiliensis (rubber tree). Lineage: Eukaryota; Viridiplantae; Streptophyta; Magnoliopsida; Malpighiales; Euphorbiaceae. The record is from RNAcentral.
CUUUUGGAGUUUAUGUAAACUCUUCCUUCAAAUAACCAGGCCCAGGCUUGAAAGGGUCAGAUUCCUCAUAUGCAUCUUUACGGUAAAACCCAGCAUCAUUCAUGCGGUUAGUAAGUACAUGAAGGAUUGCCUUUUUCUUACCUCCAUACUCAUCUCUGUUGCUCUCAAUAUAUUCUUUGGCCUCAGCUGCUACCUCGUUCACAAAAUCAAACCGGUUAUCUUCUGAUAGCAGUAGUCUCUCAAUAUCCAUUGUCAAUAGCUCUCCCGCCUCUCGUACCUUCCUAACCUGCUCCUCCAGGAAUGGAAUUCGCCCCAAUUUAUAAUGCAACAUGUCAUCCUUCUUCAUCAAUUUUCUCCCGCGCCAAACUCGCCGACCACUUCCAUUGCUUUGCCGUUGCAUAACCACCUGCGACUUCUUGGGAGGAAAAAAAAUUGAUUGAGGAAAAGAACGGCUUAGGUUUGAAAUUGAAGAGAAACCAAACUGUGGAGUAGAUAUAGCCAUGGCGCUUGUUGAUUGAUAGGAAAUUUCCAAUGGCCCGAAUUGACGUGCCGCUAUUGCGGUGGACGGUGGGAAUUCUGCGGGCUCAGUGAGAGCCAAAGAGCCCAAAAAUUGGAGAGGCUUAUGGUCUCCUUCCAGUUCGCCCCUCUAGUUCUUGAUAGGAUAUCGCACGGAGACGGCAAAGACCCUCGAACGUAAAAACUGAAAACCUGCCACUGCUCGUCC